Molecule: ribosomal RNA, 301 nt
Filed under: uncultured bacterium
Lineage: Bacteria
Description: partial 16S ribosomal RNA
Rfam family: Bacterial small subunit ribosomal RNA
Source: RNAcentral
CAGUCGCCACGGUAAUACGUAGGUGGCAAGCGUUGUCCGGAAUUAUUGGGCGUAAAGCGCGCGCAGGCGGAUAGGUCAGUCUGUCUUAAAAGUUCGGGGCUUGACCCCGUGAUGGGAUGGAAACUGCCAAUCUAGGGUAUCGGAGAGGAAAGUGGAAUUCCUAGUGUAGCGGUGAAAUGCGUAGAUAUUAGGAAGAACACCAGUGGCGAAGGCGACUUUCUGGACGAAAACUGACGCUGAGGCGCGAAAGCCAGGGGAGCGAACGGGAUUAGAUACCCCAGUAGUCCCUGUCUCUUAUACA